This 215-nucleotide long non-coding RNA is filed under the name Gossypium raimondii (Peruvian cotton). RNAcentral describes it as "long non-coding RNA (GRAI_LNC003184)". The record is from RNAcentral. Lineage: Eukaryota; Viridiplantae; Streptophyta; Magnoliopsida; Malvales; Malvaceae.
GCGGCGGUGGAACAAUUGGUGGUGUUAGGGUUUCUGUCACUAGUUUAGGUUAUGGGCUAGGUUUAUUUUGGGCUGAAUUGGGUUUGGGUAGUUGGGCUUGCAAUGGACUGGACUUUAGCUUAUUUUGGUUUUAUUUAUUUUUGGUUUAAUUGGGCCCGGGCAAAUUUGGGCUUCUACAACUAAUUUUUUGAAAUUUUGACAAAUUUGGUUGUAAG